Molecule: ribosomal RNA, 505 nt
Filed under: uncultured bacterium
Lineage: Bacteria
Description: partial 16S ribosomal RNA
Rfam family: Bacterial small subunit ribosomal RNA
Source: RNAcentral
AUUGAACGCUGGCGGCAGGCCUAACACAUGCAAGUCGAGCGGUAGCACAGGAGAGCUUGCUCUCGGGUGACGAGCGGCGGACGGGUGAGUAAUGUCUGGGAAACUGCCUGAUGGAGGGGGAUAACUACUGGAAACGGUAGCUAAUACCGCAUAACGCCGCAAGACCAAAGAGGGGGACCUUCGGGCCUCUUGCCAUCAGAUGUGCCCAGAUGGGAUUAGCUAGUAGGUGGGGUAAUGGCUCACCUAGGCGACGAUCCCUAGCUGGUCUGAGAGGAUGACCAGCCACACUGGAACGGAGACACGGUCCAGACUCCUGCGGGAGGCAGCAGUGGGGAAUAGUGCACAAUGGGCGAAAGCAUGAUGCAGCCAUGCCGCGGGUAUGAAGAAGGCCUUCGGGUUGUAAAGUACUUACAGCGGGGAGGAAGGUGCUGAGGUUAAUAACCUCAGCAAUUGACGUUACCCGCAGAAGAAGCACCGGCUAACUCCGUGCCAGCAGCCGCGGUAA